UGAGGAAUAUUGGUCAAUGGGCGAGAGCCUGAACCAGCCAAGUAGCGUGCAGGAUGACGGCCCUAUGGGUUGUAAACUGCUUUUAUAUGGGAAUAAAGUGAGGGACGUGUCCCUUAUUGCAUGUACCAUACGAAUAAGGACCGGCUAAUUCCGUGCCAGCAGCCGCGGUAAUACGUAGGGGGCUAGCGUUGUCCGGAAUCACUGGGCGUAAAGGGUUCGCAGGCGGAAAUGCAAGUCAGGUGUAAAAGGCAGUAGCUUAACUACUGUAAGCAUUUGAAACUGCAUAUCUUGAGAAGAGUAGAGGUAAGUGGAAUUUUUAGUGUAGCGGUGAAAUGCGUAGAUAUUAAAAAGAAUACCGGUGGCGAAGGCGACUUACUGGGCUCAUUCUGACGCUGAGGAACGAAAGCGUGGGUAGCAAACAGG
This 423-nucleotide ribosomal RNA is filed under the name Verrucomicrobiota bacterium. RNAcentral describes it as "Verrucomicrobia bacterium partial 16S ribosomal RNA". It matches the Rfam family "Bacterial small subunit ribosomal RNA", at positions 355 to 776 of the family's 1533-position model. Lineage: Bacteria; Pseudomonadati; Verrucomicrobiota. The record is from RNAcentral.